This 21-nucleotide microRNA is filed under the name Ananas comosus (pineapple). RNAcentral describes it as "microRNA s1164_c013b". The record is from RNAcentral. Lineage: Eukaryota; Viridiplantae; Streptophyta; Magnoliopsida; Poales; Bromeliaceae.
CGAGCCCCCAACUUUCGUUCU